RNAcentral lists this ribosomal RNA (242 nucleotides) under uncultured Pseudomonadota bacterium. Its description in RNAcentral is "uncultured proteobacterium partial 16S ribosomal RNA". It matches the Rfam family "Bacterial small subunit ribosomal RNA", at positions 46 to 289 of the family's 1533-position model. The record is from RNAcentral. Lineage: Bacteria; Pseudomonadati; Pseudomonadota.
AGGCUUAACACAUGCAAGUCGUGCGAGAAGUAUCUUCGGAUAUGAGUAGAGCGGCGGACGGGUGAGUAACGCGUAGGAAUCUACCUAGUAGAAGGGGAUAGCCCGAGGAAACUCGGAUUAAUACCGUAUACCUCCUUCGGGAGAAAGAAGGCCUCUCUUUGAAGCUUUCGCUACUAGAUGAGCCUGCGUAAGAUUAGCUUGUUGGUGAGGUAAAGGCUCACCAAGGCUACGAUCUUUAGCGG